GCUAACGUAGCACAACAUGGCCAUGCGAAAGAUCUAAGCCCUUUCUACAGAAGUUCAAGUCUUCUCGCUAGCU
Molecule: transfer RNA, 73 nt
Filed under: Bokermannohyla oxente
Lineage: Eukaryota; Metazoa; Chordata; Amphibia; Anura; Hylidae
Description: tRNA-Leu
Rfam family: tRNA
About the family: Transfer RNA (tRNA) molecules are approximately 80 nucleotides in length. Their secondary structure includes four short double-helical elements and three loops (D, anti-codon, and T loops). Further hydrogen bonds mediate the characteristic L-shaped molecular structure. tRNAs have two regions of fundamental functional importance: the anti-codon, which is responsible for specific mRNA codon recognition, and the 3' end, to which the tRNAs corresponding amino acid is attached (by aminoacyl-tRNA synthetases). tRNAs cope with the degeneracy of the genetic code in two manners: having more than one tRNA (with a specific anti-codon) for a particular amino acid; and 'wobble' base-pairing, i.e. permitting non-standard base-pairing at the 3rd anti-codon position.
Source: RNAcentral